CAGCGAUGUGCUCACACAGACACCAUCACCCACCCUCUGCCCAGCCCUGCCCCGGUACCCACCGAAAAUGAGGGACAGAUGUGCAGAGCCUUCAACCACAGAUGCAUCAGAAAACAAGAUAAAGAUUUUGUUCCAAACACUGACAGUUUUCACAGCCGUUCCCACUGAAUUGCAAUGCACUGCUCUUUAGGCAGUGUUUCCUCACCACUGAGAAGCACUCCCGAAAUUACGCUAUCUACAUAAAUAUUGAAGGCAGCACUUUACAUCUCCAUCCCUGCGUUAACCCACAGAAGGAGGCUCCUCGUGGCGGCUGUAAGCAGUGCUGCAGGGCCCUGCUCCUGGUCAGCCUUCCAUCUCUGACACUCAACCUCUACUCAGAAAGAGGGCACGAUGUUGGGAUCAGCCUUCAUUAUGAAUCUCUAAACAGCGG
RNAcentral lists this long non-coding RNA (430 nucleotides) under Gallus gallus (chicken). The record is from RNAcentral. Lineage: Eukaryota; Metazoa; Chordata; Aves; Galliformes; Phasianidae.